GCAGGAGGUUAGCAAGCUGAGGGAAGUUGCGACUGGUGAACAAGACGGAGCAAGGAUGCUGGAAAGUGAUUUGGCUGACAAUCGCAAAUAGAUCAGGAUGCUCAAUAGUGGAUCCAAAGACUUGGAUAAGAUACUCUCGAUGAGACAACCAGUCAAGGUGAACUGGGGACUGGGAUAUCGAGGAUCUGAGACUACUAAGGA
RNAcentral lists this long non-coding RNA (201 nucleotides) under Brassica napus (rape). RNAcentral describes it as "long non-coding RNA (BNAP_LNC026023)". The record is from RNAcentral. Lineage: Eukaryota; Viridiplantae; Streptophyta; Magnoliopsida; Brassicales; Brassicaceae.